UGAGUACGAGACGCUAAGGCGUCGAAGUAGUGGAUGUCAUACUUCCAAGAAAAGCUUGCACUGUCAUAAGUAAAAAACGCCUGUACCAUAACCGACACAGGUGGGUAGGUAGAGUAUACUAAGGGGCGCGAGAUAACUCUCUCUAAGGAACUCGGCAAAAUAACUCCGUAACUUCGGGAGAAGGAGUGCCUUAUUCGUAAGGCUGCAGUAACAAGAUCCAAGCAACUGUUUAUCAAAAACACAGGUCUCCGCUAAGUCGUAAGACGAUGUAUGGGGGCUGACGCCUGCCCAGUGCCAGAAGGUUAAAGAAGUCGGUUAGCAUUAGCGAAGCUGGUAACUGAAGCCCUGGUGAACGGCGGCCGUAACAAUAACGGUCCUAAGGUAGCGAAAUUCCUUGUCGGGUAAGUUCCGACCCGCACGAAAGGCGUAAUGAUUUGGAUACUGUCUCGGAGAGGGGCUCGGUGAAAUAGACUUGUCUGUGAAGAUGCGGACUACCUGCACCAGGACAGAAAGACCCUAUGAAGCUUUACUGUAACUUGAAAUUGAAAUUGGACUUUAUUCGCGCAGUAUAGGUGGGAGGUGUUGAUUAUAAUCUUGCGGGAUUAUUGGAGCCAUCAGUGAGAUACCACUCUUGUAAUGUCAGAUUUCUAACUUUGAAUCAUUAUCUGGUCAAAGAACAGUUUCAGGCGGGCAGUUUGACUGGGGCGGUCGCCUCCUAAAUGGUAACGGAGGCGUACAAAGGUUUCCUCUGAACGGGUAGAAAUCGUAUCUAGAGUGUAAAGGCAUAAGGAAGCUUGACUGUGAGACCUACAAGUCGAGCAGGGACGAAAGUCGGUCUUAGUGAUCUGACGGUACUGAGUGGAAAGGCCGUCACUCAACGGAUAAAAGUUACUCUAGGAUAACAGGCUGAUCUCCCCCAAGAGUUCACAUCGACGGGGAGGUUAGGCACCUCGAUGUCGGCUCAUCGCAUCCUGGGGCGGUAGUACGUCCCAAGGGUUGGGCUGUUCGCCCAUGAAAGCGGUACGCGAGCUGGGUUCAGAACGUCGUGAGACAGUUCGGUCCAUAUCCGGUGUAGGCGUUAGAAUAUUGAGAGGAGCCUUCUUUAGUACGAGAGGACCGAGAAGGACAUACCUCUGGUGUACCAGUUAUCGUGCCAACGGUAAACGCUGGGUAGCUAUGUAUGGAGUGGAUAACCGCUGAAAGCAUCUAAGUGGGAAGCCCACCUCAAGAUAAGUAUUCUCAUC
RNAcentral lists this ribosomal RNA (1244 nucleotides) under metagenome. RNAcentral's name for it is "bacterial LSU rRNA". It matches the Rfam family "Bacterial large subunit ribosomal RNA", at positions 1564 to 2818 of the family's 2925-position model. The record is from RNAcentral.